RNAcentral lists this long non-coding RNA (571 nucleotides) under Homo sapiens (human). RNAcentral's name for it is "HSALNT0392562". The record is from RNAcentral. Lineage: Eukaryota; Metazoa; Chordata; Mammalia; Primates; Hominidae.
AUUCAUUGCUGUUAGCUCCGGCAGUUGGAUGAAAAGUUUUAGCAAAAGCAGCAACAAAUGUACUUUAAAUACUAGCACAGUAAGGGAAUUCCUGUCUUUCAGGAUGAAUGCCAUCCACACAAAAGAGCUCCUGUUGACAUCUCAUUUACAAUCUCCCCCAGGACACAGACAAGACCCUUUCAAUAAAUCCAGCUCAGAAACACCUAUUGUUCAAAAUCUUCAACUCGCCACAGGCUACCACCACUCCCUAUGGCUUUGCAAAAUUAAAGAUUUAGAAGAAGGAUGGGGCGGUGGAAGCUAUGAAAAGAGGCAGGAAAAAAGUUCCUUUGACCCGAUGCUGUCAGAGAGCGUGCAUGAAGAAGAAAGUUAAUGGUAUUUCCAUUUAUAUAAGAAGCGCCUAAGAAAUGCCUGUGACGUUCGUGAACUAGUGAUUGUGAAUUCCAAAUUUGAUGCCAACUUUAUGUGUAAAGAAGCUAACUCCUGCCAACAUCGUGGCUGAAUGAACAGCUGGGACUAUGCUUAACCCAUUCCCAGCUUAUAAAAGCCCCAUGGCAGCUGCAGUGAAGCAUCA